This 471-nucleotide unclassified non-coding RNA is filed under the name Hevea brasiliensis (rubber tree). Lineage: Eukaryota; Viridiplantae; Streptophyta; Magnoliopsida; Malpighiales; Euphorbiaceae. The record is from RNAcentral.
GAAACCCAGAGAGAGAAGUAGCAACGGCUGCUGUGUAUAUUGUGGAUCAUGAUGAAUAGAGGCGACAAAAAUGUGCUUAACAUGAAUGAUUCAGUCUAUUUUGCAGAAUUCUUACCUACAAUUAGCCCAAAGCCUAAAAGCAGGAGCACUAGUCAUAUCACGACAACUCUUCCUUAUUCCAGUUGCACUCAUAGCACCACUAGUACUCGUCUAGGACUCGAUGGUCACCUUCUGGGCUCAGGCAAUAAUAUUAAUGCAUCGGAGCAAAAUAGGAGAGAAAUAUUCAUGAACGAACAGCCAUUAAUGGGGAUGAGUUCGCGGUGGAACCCAACGCCGGAGCAGCUACUAGCACUGGAAGAAAUGUACAGACGUGGAACGCGAACGCCAACAGCGGAACAAAUCCAACAAAUAGCUGCACAGCUUCGUAGGUUUGGGAAGAUUGAAGGCAAGAAUGUGUUCUACUGGUUUCAA